Non-coding RNA from Kogia breviceps (pygmy sperm whale), 820 nucleotides. The record is from RefSeq and is a predicted model, not a curated record. Lineage: Eukaryota; Metazoa; Chordata; Mammalia; Artiodactyla; Physeteridae.
GCCAGGACUGAGGAUUGUGACGUGUCGUGUCCCCUGGCUUCCCAGCACUCAGUCUCCGUGUCAUAAGCAGCCCCGUGUCCCCUGCUUUGCACUGACUUUAACCCACCCACCCACCCAGUGUGAGUAAGUUCUUGGCAAAGCGUCAUUCUGAAACUGUCCAAGGAGAGGGAGGACAGCAAGAGAUGGUGACGAUCUGUGGAGAGAAAGGCCACAUCACCUUAAGCCUGAAAAACAGCUGCUAAUACUAGUUUAGCGUCAGCCGACCCCCUGCCUCAGCCUGAUGGGGGACUUCCCACUGAGACUGUCCCUGGUGACGCAGAGCAGUGUCAGGUCAAAGCCAGCAAAUUCAAAGCCACCUGGUUUGAGCACGUCUGCUCAGCCAGCGCUCAUGGCUGAAGUGGGAAUGGGCACCGGAGGGCAUCAUCCAACUUCCUCACGUUGCGGAUGGGAAAAUGGAGGCAGAGGGAGAAGUCACCUACUAAAAGCCAUGAGACCAGAGAGCAGCAGAACUGGGACAGGGCCGAGGCCUUCUGAGACCCGCUUUCGUGCCCUUCCAAAGGAAGUAAAAGGCAAUGACAGUUCUUGGAAAGACUGAUCACUGGAAUCUUUCUUUCAUUGAGAAAAUACCCCCCCAAUCAAAAUAAUUCUUGUGUCAUUAUAACGUUGACAGUCCCUUUAUUCCCUACUUCUCCUUUUCUCCAUCGCCUGAUAAAGUCACUUUGAACUCUUUGGUGAAUAUAGCACUGAAUUUCAAUGCUGCUUCUUGCUAUAGAGCAAAGUUGCAGUGAAAAUGUUGCUGGACACCUUUUCACAGAUGCAA